CAAACCAAAGCUGGCGACCGGCGCACGGGUGAGUAACACGUAUCCAACCUGCCUCAUACUCGGGGAUAGUCUUUCGAAAGAAAGAUUAAUAUCCGAUAGCAUAUAUUUCCCGCAUGGGUUUUAUAUUAAAGAAAUUCGGUAUGAGAUGGGGAUGCGUUCCAUUAGUUUGUUGGGGGGGUAACGGCCCACCAAGACUACGAUGGAUAGGGGUUCUGAGAGGAAGGUCCCCCACAUUGGAACUGAGACACGGUCCAA
Molecule: ribosomal RNA, 255 nt
Filed under: uncultured bacterium
Lineage: Bacteria
Description: partial 16S ribosomal RNA
Rfam family: Bacterial small subunit ribosomal RNA
Source: RNAcentral